Molecule: long non-coding RNA, 1047 nt
Filed under: Gallus gallus (chicken)
Lineage: Eukaryota; Metazoa; Chordata; Aves; Galliformes; Phasianidae
Description: lncRNA (ENSGALG00010026279.1)
Source: RNAcentral
AUCACUGGAUUUCUCUGCUUACCUGAGGCCUUCUGAAGCAUACUUCCAUGCUCUACAGAGUCUCGAAGAAAGCAGCAGCAGGAAGCUUAGACUCCAUUUCCCCACUCUUUCCCAGCUAUAAUGAAGAUGUCCUGCUAGCAGAUGUUAUAUGACAGCAUCCUAGUAUUCAUUGCAAUACUGGGGAAGUAGCAGCAGAAAUGGAAAGCCCCUUGGUCUUCAAGAAACCAGCAUCUACUGGAGAGGUCAGGGCUGGAGAUGCUGCCAAAAGAGCCACAGAAGCAUGAUGCAAACUGUAUCCUCUUGCUGGGCUUUGGGAACUGCUCAGCUUUCAGCUGGGUUUGUGCCACUCAGGCUGUUCCUGUUAGGAGAAAGCUGGAGGAGUGCCCUUUUGCCCAAGGUCUGAUCUCCCAGGGGCUGCUGAGAUGCUAGCUGAUUCCCUUGUUGCUGCAUAGCUACCUGUGUUUCAGUGCUCCGGGAUGCUGCCUGAGUUCCCCUUUGGACUCCAGAGUCCCAUUGAGAUCAUGACAGCCAUGUUUAUGUGCUAUUCUAAUGCUGGUUGUUGCAGUGUAAGUGCUUUUUAAUGCAUGGCAUUACAGCAGGUGCAUGCUGUUCUCUCCCUUACCAAAUGGCUGUCUGGAGGGAUGUAAUUCCGGCUUCUGCCUCAGCAUGCUGUUAUUUACAAGUGUGGUUACACGGUUUGUGCCACCUCGGAGCUUAAUUUAGUUAAUUUGGUGCACAGCACAUGAGAACCACCUUUGCAGAAUGAGUGCUGUGAUACCCAGCUGGCUCAGGGAUCCCAUAACUGCAUCUCGGAGGUGGGAGGACUUCAGAAGAGCAUUCAGGGAGCAACGAGCAGUGGUGUCAGGAGCAUGAAGUCCCAUCACUUCUAUAUGUAAAACUAGAGCAGGACACAUGCGAUGUGUGUCUUGGGGUGGCCAGGUCUGUGGUAGCUCCUUGGCCAUUGACGCAGAGCUUUGUUGAUUGUCCCCACAAAGGCUUUUGGCUAUGGAUUUGUGGAUGUGGUUGUAGAAUAAAAUGAAAUUCCAC